UUUGUAUACUAGAAAUGUCUAUGAAGACCAAGUGUCGUUAGCUAAAUUGGUAAAAACCCUGGGCGAAACUUAGAGGUCGCUGGUUCGAGUGACGCUUGGGACAAAAUUAAUAUUACAUGUCGUGGUUUCGGGCCUAGGAGGAUUACGGGUUUCGGCCCAAAACCUCUUAGUAUUCGAAAAAGAA
Molecule: small RNA, 184 nt
Filed under: Arabidopsis thaliana (thale cress)
Lineage: Eukaryota; Viridiplantae; Streptophyta; Magnoliopsida; Brassicales; Brassicaceae
Description: ATSL173880
Source: RNAcentral